This is a long non-coding RNA of Onychostoma macrolepis, 791 nucleotides long. RefSeq lists it as uncharacterized. The transcript is spliced from 3 exons. NCBI's taxonomy places the organism in Eukaryota, Metazoa, Chordata, Actinopteri, Cypriniformes, Cyprinidae. The record is from RefSeq and is a predicted model, not a curated record.
UCCAGAAGGGCCUGGGAACAUUUCAGUUGCAUUGCUGUCUAGGGUCAGAAAACUCUUGGAUUUCAUCAAGAAAUAUCUUAAUUUGUGUUCUGAAGAUGAACGUCUGAAGGUCUUAAAGGUUUGGAACGACAUGAGGGCCUGAUGAUCCCUGUGUGCCUGUAUGUGUCCUGUGUUCGUCUGCGUUAGCCGCCAUAAAACACCAGGAGCCUCUUGAACCGCAAGCUCCUAGAGGUGAAAGGUCACCUGGCAGGUGGCAGAAGGAGGUCAAGGGCAUGUCAGGCACAAGCAGUUACCAAUGUUUCUGACAGGGAUUUGGCCCUUCUUCUCACGGGUCACAACUUCCCUCUGUGCCUAGCGCCGGAGGCGGUUUGUUCUUUGCUCAAGAGUGAUAUAACUUCCUUGACCCUUUCAUAUAAAUUCUUGUGAUUGGGAGUUCUGCUGUCACAACACCAACUAAGGGGCAUUAAGUGCAAGUCUGAAAGGAUUUGGCACUGGCUUUGGGAGUAUAAGAGAUGGAGAAAACACUUUACCAUGGGUUUGCUUUGAAAUUACUGGCAUUCAAAACACCCAACAUUUUAUAUUCAUGUAUUUCCCUCUCCAUUUUGUGUCAAAUUUGGACCAUCUAUUAGAGUAUGCUUCGAUGCAAGACACCACAUGUGAAUAAAGUGAAAAUGUACAUACAUCCCCAGCUGAUUAAUCACAGUACAUUAAAACAUUUUUUUUUUAAAUUAUGUUAUGUUCGAAUAUGCAAAUGAUGCAUUAUCUAAUUACAUAUGCAGUAAUUUGCAUUC